RNAcentral lists this long non-coding RNA (1006 nucleotides) under Mus musculus (house mouse). RNAcentral's name for it is "long non-coding RNA chr6:48544363-48545369". Lineage: Eukaryota; Metazoa; Chordata; Mammalia; Rodentia; Muridae. The record is from RNAcentral.
AGAAAUACAUGCAUGCACACACACACAAACACACACACACACACAAAUACAGAGAGAAGACUGGUCAUUAAAGCUACAACAUAGAUUUCACUUAAGAACCUCUCUAGAGAAGGCUCUGAACUCCAAUCACACUUUUUCACUAGGGAGAGAACAUUUCAGAGAGAAUAAGGGAGUCGGGAGAGGGAUGACCAGGGAAUCAAAUCAAAUAAGGAAAAAGGAAGGUCAGGAUUACUGAGGGCUAGUUAAGUCAGGUGUGGUAGCACUCACCUAUAAUCCCAGCACUCAGGAUACAGUCAUAAGGAUAAUGGAUGCAUGGCCAGUCUGGACUACUUAAACCCUGUGACAUGGAAACUUCUAGUUCUUUGGAAGGUUGGUUAUGCCAAAUGGUGUUUUGCUGGGCUACACAGGUGAAAGGAUGUCUUGCUAAGGCAAACACAUGAAAGACUGUUUUCCCGAAGCAGACACACGUGAAAGGAUAUUUGGCUAUAGCAGACACAUAAAAGAACUCUUGAUGAAGGAGUAUAAACAUGACCCCACAGACAGUGGGAGUCUGGCACUGAGCUUUGGUUUGCUUCACCUUGAUGUUCUUCACUAAAGACACGCAUGUAUUGGUUCACCUUACAGAGUGUUGUUGAGCUCAACUUGUGAUAACUCGGACAUUGAGAGAAACUCGCCCAAAAACUGCUCAUGAGGUUCCUGAGGUAGCUUGUCGCCUCUGUGGCCUCACCUCAGGCUGGUUGGUGAGCCAGGUGAUUGAACUGCAGUUGCCUGGUGUCUGCUGAAAGGACUGGACUGCGGCUCCUGGUUCCUGCCUAUUGUGUCCCUGCCUAGAGGACUGGUCUGCAGCUGCUGAAUUGUAUUUGGUGUUUGCUAUGGGACUGAACUGCUCACCCCUAAAAAACGGUUGCUGAACAGAUCCAAUCCCCCCAUCUCCUAAUAACUUUUCUCUUCCACUACCUCUGCUGGGUAGAGAAGAAGUUGAAACCUUAUUAAAAAAAUAGGUUGC